This 78-nucleotide transfer RNA is filed under the name Methylophilus sp. YYY-1. RNAcentral describes it as "tRNA-OTHER". The record is from RNAcentral. Lineage: Bacteria; Pseudomonadati; Pseudomonadota; Betaproteobacteria; Nitrosomonadales; Methylophilaceae.
GGUGGCAGUGCUCGAUUGGUAACAGGGUGGCUCCCGCUUUGCGAUCACUUAAGUAGGUUCGAUUCCUACCUGCGACCG